AUUUACAUAAUAUAAUAAUUAUAUUUAACUUCCAAUUAAAAAAUCUAGAUAUCUAGUGUAAAUA
RNAcentral lists this transfer RNA (64 nucleotides) under Eucryptorrhynchus brandti. RNAcentral describes it as "tRNA-Gly". The record is from RNAcentral. Lineage: Eukaryota; Metazoa; Arthropoda; Insecta; Coleoptera; Curculionidae.